Molecule: long non-coding RNA, 387 nt
Organism: Pseudophryne corroboree (corroboree frog)
Lineage: Eukaryota; Metazoa; Chordata; Amphibia; Anura; Myobatrachidae
Exons: 3
Source: RefSeq, a predicted model, not a curated record
CAGUGCUGACAUCGUAGUUUUACCUGCACACCUCUAUGAGGCCCCGUUCCAGAAUGGCGCGCUGCGUCAAAGCCGAUGAAUACUCCCGUAUAAGUGAAGAAGCAGAAAUGUAAACGCAUGGCUUCCUGCGCAGUCACUAGAAAUUGGACAUGUGCUCUCCCCAGAACAGGAACGCAAUAUGAUCAGAAGUCUGACGGGCGCAUGUCUGGAUAUCGGAGAGGCGGUAAGAAAUGAUACAGGUGGAAUGAGCAUCUCAGAAAACCUCACAGUAAUGGAGCUCUGUACCUGCACGUAAUAUGUAUGAUCACCUUUCCUGUCCGCAUCUGAUGCCCAUUAGAUAGGACUAUUAGCAAGAGCAUGUCAUUAAACGAAAAGCCUUUAUCACAA